AUUGAACGCUGGCGGAAUGCUUAACACAUGCAAGUCGAGCGGGCUGUAGCAAUACAGCUAGCGGCGGACGGGUGAGGAAUACAUAGGAAUCUGCCUCAGAGUGGGGGAUAGCCCGGGGAAACCCGGAUUAAUACCGCAUGAUGUCGUAAGACCAAAGCAGGGGACCGUAAGGCCUUGCGCUUUGAGAUGAGCCUAUGUCGGAUUAGCUAGUUGGCGGGGUAAAAGCCCACCAAGGCGACGAUCCGUAGCUGGUCUGAGAGGACGAUCAGC
Molecule: ribosomal RNA, 270 nt
Filed under: uncultured bacterium
Lineage: Bacteria
Description: partial 16S ribosomal RNA
Rfam family: Bacterial small subunit ribosomal RNA
Source: RNAcentral